This 107-nucleotide small nucleolar RNA is filed under the name Eutrema salsugineum. RNAcentral describes it as "Plant small nucleolar RNA R71". It matches the Rfam family "Plant small nucleolar RNA R71". Rfam says of the family: R71 is a member of the C/D box family of snoRNAs containing the C (UGAUGA) and D (CUGA) box motifs. Lineage: Eukaryota; Viridiplantae; Streptophyta; Magnoliopsida; Brassicales; Brassicaceae. The record is from Rfam by way of RNAcentral.
AAACCAUGAUGGGGACACUGGUUGAUGUAGCUUCUAAAUCUUUCCCAUGCUUCACCAAAGAUAUCAUUGGUGUGUUGGGUAAAGUUUGAGAUUUGAUUCCUCAGCUU